Long non-coding RNA from Apus apus (common swift), 1816 nucleotides. RefSeq lists it as uncharacterized. NCBI's taxonomy places the organism in Eukaryota, Metazoa, Chordata, Aves, Apodiformes, Apodidae. The record is from RefSeq and is a predicted model, not a curated record. The transcript is spliced from 5 exons.
CUGGACUACAGCUGUCACCAGAGUGAACAGGAACGUGUCACUGACUCUCUUCUGGUGGGAUCUGGCUUAGCUUGUGCAUCCUAUCAGGGAUGAAAGGCAACAAAACCUUUUUUCGUGCAUCUGGCCUGAAGGCAGUGUCAAUUUGCAUCAACUGACACUGUGGCAGACUGUGAGAUGCAAUGCCAGACUUUGUAUCAGAGAGAUCUUCAGUGGAGUUUAUGGAAACUUAUUCCAAGUUAUUUAUCUAGAAGGAGUGAAACACAAUGUCAUGCUGUUCCCAUUUUAACUAGCAAAACCAGCAUCCAGAAGAAUUUGGAUUACCUUUUUACCUUCUCAAAGACAUCUUCUGGUGUGUCACCGCACACAAUGAUGUAAUUGAUGUACUGCAGGUCUUCCGGAUCUGUUUUUCCACCCCUGGGGCAUUCGAUUCCAGGUGUGAUGGACUCCCCUCCAGGUGAAAGCAAACUGUGGCCUGCGCUCUGGUGCUAGAGGAAUAGAGAAAAAGGCAUGAGCAAUGUCAAUAGUGGCAUACCACCUGGCUGUUUUAGACCUUCAUACUGAAGUUCUAGCAUGUUUGGCCCAGCAGCACUGAGCAGUGGUGUUACCUCGUUCAGCCCACGAUAGUCCACUGUCAGCCUUCAGGUGUCUGCUCCUUCUAUUAGGUCUUUUAACAUUGCUUUUAAAAAGGUGUCCUCUACUGUUGAACAUGUUCUUGUGGUUUUGGAUGGCUGUUUCUUUGCUUUUCUCCUAGUCACAGGAUUUAACUUUUGCUCAUUUGGAUCAAGUGGGAGUGCCCUUAGUCUUUGCAGCAGCAGCAGUGAUGACAGCAACCUUGCCUGUGGGGAAGCAGAUUGUGAUCACUCUACACAUCCACAGUACAUUAUAAACAUUCAGGAAAAGCAUCCCUAGUGAAACAAUGCUAUUUAGAUCAAAAGCUGAGAGAUUCAGACUGAGGGAAGAUGGAGAGGUAAGACUGAACCUGCUACUGCCAUUACCAACCUAGACCUUUCUGUUCACAUAAGGAUUUGUACUGUACACAUACAGUGCCACCAUACAGAUCAGUAUCAAAACCCCUGUGAUCACUAGACAGGUUAUUACAUGCUUGAUUAUGGCUGUAGUCCUGUUGAUAAACCAUAAAACAAUAACAAGAGCAGCUACCCAGAGCAGUAUUAUCCCAGCUGCAUUCCCCAUAUACGAUUACAUGUUGGGAAAAAGGCCCAGCAGAAACAUUGCAGAAAGUGUCUGUCCAGUUUUCAACCCAUCAACGUACUCAGCAGAAGCGUUGCCCAUAGCCCUCUGUGGAAAUCCUCCCAGCAGAGGUGGAAUUUUAAACAUUCAACAGUUAGACAGAAUUUAUAGCCUGGCCUUAAAAUAUAUGCUAUGUGAAAAGUAUUGUUGUCUGUCAGGAUUAAUUAUUAAUCUUAACAGGUAAGAGCCUUAGUCUUUUCAGGACUGCUUUCAUGCUUCUAUACCCUGGGGUGUAUUAGAAAGGGUGUGGUUAGUAGGUCAAGAGAGGUUCUCCUCCCCCUCUAUUCUGCCUUGGUGAGGCCGCAUCUGGAAUAUUGUGUCCAGUUCUGGGUCUCUCAGUUCAAGAAGGACAGGGAACUGCUUGAAAGAGUCCAGCACAGAGCCACAAAGAUGAUGAAGGGAGUGGAACAUCUCCCUUAUGAGGACAGGCUGAGGGAGCUGGGCCUCUUUAGCUUGGAGGAGACCGAGGGGCGACCUCAUCAAUGUUUACAAGUAUGUUAAGGGCGACUAUCAGGAGGACAGAGCCAGGCUCUUCUCAGUGAUGUUCAGUGAUAGGACAAGGGGCAAC